This 891-nucleotide unclassified non-coding RNA is filed under the name Limulus polyphemus (Atlantic horseshoe crab). RNAcentral's name for it is "ankyrin repeat domain-containing protein 39-like, transcript variant X1". Lineage: Eukaryota; Metazoa; Arthropoda; Merostomata; Xiphosura; Limulidae. The record is from RNAcentral.
CUAAACGAUCUUAGAGAGACAGUAGAGGACACUGCUAGACUAUUUGAAUUCAGUUUUCUGCUGAGAUUUCGGGACUCAAGCUAGUAUGGACCAUGGACAUUCUGAUGGUAAGCAAGGCUGUUGCUGCAAUGCAACCACACCAAUACCUUCAGUUCAUCAGACGCUAGAUGAGAUGGAAUUUGAACGAGGUAUUUGGUCAGCAGCUAUGAAUGGUGAUCUGCUUAAAGUCAAGUCCUUAGUGGCAAAGGGAACUGACCCAGGAAGUAAGGACACAAGUGGGUACACAGCAUUGCAUUAUGCAGCUAGGAAUGGACACUUAGAAAUUUGUACUUUUCUUCUGGAGAAUGGAGCAUGUGCUAAUGUCCAGACCCUUGGUGGUGCCACACCUUUACAAAGAGCUGCUUUGAAAGGCCAUGUAGAUAUUGUUAAGAUACUUUUACAUUUCAAUGGAAAUCCAUCAAUUUGUGACAGUGAUGGAAAGACAGCCUUACAUAAAGCAGCAGAAGGAGGACACUUGGAUGUUGUUAAGAUCCUUAUAGAUACAGACAGAAACCUGUGUUCAGUGAAUGAUAACCACUUCAGAAUACCAGCUGAUUGUGUAUCAGAAAAACACCCAGAGAUUGUAAACCUUCUGAGGCAAAGCUGUUGAGAGUAUUAUGGAUUAUCGAGCCGAACAGAACCCCGAUACAAUGUAUGCUGUUGAUUAGUAGUUCAACAUUACAGUCUUUUAUAUCUACCUCUGAUCUGGCGUUUAGUCCACGUGUUGUAUUGUCGUUUAAAAAAUACACGCAGUUCUGUGAAAGGUCCAACUUGUAAGUGGGGAUCCAGAUUUCGAAGAUAGGUAGUUAUUACUUUAUAUAUAUGGUUAAUGGAAUAAAAUGUUUAACUAAA